CAGGGAGACAACACAAUGAUUUUGAUGCCUGAGUAUUUUUAUUCUUAGGUCGAAAUCCUGUCACCUUAGGUCGAUCGGUACCUCAGAUUUGAAGUCAAGAAUUAACAGCAAUGUUAAUUGCUUGGUUGAAAUUUUCAGUUCCUAAACUUUGUCUAGGUCACACCCCAAAAGGGAUGAGACUCCUGGGCCAUUAGCUCAGGUGGUUAGAGCGCACCCCUGAUAAGGGUGAGGUCCCUGGUUCAAGUCCAGGAUGGCCCAUUCGGUGUUGGGGGUUUAGCUCAGUUGGUAGAGCGCCUGCUUUGCAAGCAGGAUGUCAGGAGUUCGAGUCUCCUAACCUCCACUGACCGAACUUUAUCCCUGCUCCAAGUGAUGGAGUUGAGCUCGAUUGGUGUGUGAUUUAGAUGUGUCCGCUGGAUGACCCCAGCUUCCUGUCAUUCCAAGUUUUAGGUUAAAGCCUUGAAUUUGGUUGAUAAGAUGCUGGGCUCGGAUCAAAUGAUCAAGCAAUUGAUGAUUUGAUUUGAAGUUCUAGCAGAACCUUGACAACUGCAUAGGUGAGUCUGGAAAAAACAAAGCAUCUUACAGAUGCAUUGUUUUGAAUCUGAUCUUUCGAAAGGGAGAUUGGAUCUAGAACAAUGAAAAUUCUUUUGAGCAAGAGCCGAGACUCUUGGAUGUUCUUUGAUUCGUGUCGAGCGAAUCAGAGUUUGAUCUUGUUUUUAGCAAUAAAAACUUGAGAAUCUGCUUUCAACGGCGGUAAGCGUUCAGGAGGUUAAUU
RNAcentral lists this transfer RNA (772 nucleotides) under uncultured cyanobacterium. RNAcentral describes it as "partial 16S-23S ribosomal RNA intergenic spacer". The stretch from base 268 to 340 matches the Rfam family "tRNA". Lineage: Bacteria; Bacillati; Cyanobacteriota. The record is from RNAcentral.